AACGAACGCUGGCGGCAUGCCUAACACAUGCAAGUCGAACGAGACCUUCGGGUCUAGUGGCGCACGGGUGCGUAACGCGUGGGAACCUGCCCUUAGGUUCGGAAUAACUCCCCGAAAGGGGUGCUAAUACCGGAUAAUGUCUUCGGACCAAAGAUUUAUCGCCUUUGGAUGGGCCCGCGUUGGAUUAGCUAGUUGGUAGGGUAAAAGCCUACCAAGGCGACGAUCCAUAGCUGGUCUGAGAGGAUGAUCAGCCACACUGGGACUGAGACACGGCCCAGACUCCUACGGGAGGCAGCAGUGGAGAAUAUUGGACAAUGGGCGAAAGCCUGAUCCAGCAAUGCCGCGUGAGUGAUGAAGGCCUUAGGGUUGUAAAUCUCUUUUACCCGAGAUGAUAAUGACAGUACCGGGAGAAUAAGCUCCGGCUAACUCCGUG
This 433-nucleotide ribosomal RNA is filed under the name uncultured bacterium. Its description in RNAcentral is "partial 16S ribosomal RNA". It matches the Rfam family "Bacterial small subunit ribosomal RNA", at positions 29 to 507 of the family's 1533-position model. The record is from RNAcentral.